RNAcentral lists this ribosomal RNA (116 nucleotides) under Scophthalmus maximus (turbot). The record is from RNAcentral. Lineage: Eukaryota; Metazoa; Chordata; Actinopteri; Pleuronectiformes; Scophthalmidae.
GCUUACGGCCACACCGCCUGGUUCACGCCCGAUCUCGUUUGAUCUCGGAAGCUAAGAUAGGUUGGGUGGAAGUACUUGGAUGGGAGACCGCCUGGGAAUACCAGGUGCUGUAGCUU